UGGGGAAUUUUGGACAAUGGGGGAAACCCUGAUCCAGCCAUCCCGCGUGUGCGAUGAAGGCCUUCGGGUUGUAAAGCACUUUUGGCAGGAAAGAAACGUCAUGGGUUAAUACCCCGUGAAACUGACGGUACCUGCAGAAUAAGCACCGGCUAACUACGUGCCAGCAGCCGCGGUAAUACAUAGGGUGCAAGCGUUAAUCGGAAUUACUGGGCGUAAAGCGUGCGCAGGCGGUUCGGAAAGAAAGAUGUGAAAUCCCAGAGCUCAACUUUGGAACUGCAUUUUUAACUACCGGGCUAGAGUGUGUCAGAGGGAGGUGGAUUUCCGCGUGUAGCAGUGAAAUGCGUAGAUAUGCGGAGGAACACCGAUGGCGAAGGCAGCCUCCUGGGAUAACACUGACGCUCAUGCACGAAAGCGUGGGGAGCAAACAGG
This 429-nucleotide ribosomal RNA is filed under the name Acidobacteriota bacterium. RNAcentral's name for it is "Acidobacteria bacterium partial 16S ribosomal RNA". It matches the Rfam family "Bacterial small subunit ribosomal RNA", at positions 355 to 776 of the family's 1533-position model. The record is from RNAcentral. Lineage: Bacteria; Pseudomonadati; Acidobacteriota.